UGGGGAAUAUUGCACAAUGGAGGAAACUCUGAUGCAGCGACGCCGCGUGAGUGAAGAAGGUCUUCGGAUCGUAAAACUCUGUCCUUGGUGAAGAAAAAAUGACGGUAGCCAAGGAGGAAGCCCCGGCUAACUACGUGCCAGCAGCCGCGGUAAUACGUAGGGGGCGAGCGUUGUCCGGAUUUACUGGGCGUAAAGGGUGAGUAGGCGGUUAUAUAUGUCAGAUGUAAAAGGCUAUGGCUUAACCAUAGUUGGCAUUUGAAACUGUAUGACUUGAGUGCAGGAGAGGUAAGUGGAAUUCCUAGUGUAGCGGUGAAAUGCGUAGAUAUUAGGAGGAACACCAGUGGCGAAGGCGACUUACUGGACUGUAACUGACGCUGAGUCACGAAAGCGUGGGUAGCGAACAGGAUUAGAUACCCUGGUAGUCCACGCUGUAAACGAUGAGUGCUAGGUGUUGGCCAGCGAUGGUCAGUGCCGAAGUAAACACAAUAAGCACUCCGCCUGGGGAGUACGUACGCAAGUAUG
RNAcentral lists this ribosomal RNA (522 nucleotides) under uncultured bacterium. Its description in RNAcentral is "bacterial SSU rRNA". It matches the Rfam family "Bacterial small subunit ribosomal RNA", at positions 355 to 896 of the family's 1533-position model. The record is from RNAcentral.